Molecule: ribosomal RNA, 446 nt
Filed under: uncultured organism
Description: partial 16S ribosomal RNA
Rfam family: Bacterial small subunit ribosomal RNA
Source: RNAcentral
ACUCCUACGGGAGGCAGCAGUGGGGAAUAUUGGACAAUGGGCGCAAGCCUGAUCCAGCCAUGCCGCGUGAGUGAUGAAGGCCCUAGGGUUGUAAAGCUCUUUCACCGGUGAAGAUAAUGACGGUAACCGGAGAAGAAGCCCCGGCUAACUUCGUGCCAGCAGCCGCGGUAAUACGAAGGGGGCUAGCGUUGUUCGGAUUUACUGGGCGUAAAGCGCACGUAGGCGGACUAUUAAGUCAGGGGUGAAAUCCCGGGGCUCAACCCCGGAACUGCCUUUGAUACUGGUAGUCUUGAGUUCGAGAGAGGUGAGUGGAAUUCCGAGUGUAGAGGUGAAAUUCGUAGAUAUUCGGAGGAACACCAGUGGCGAAGGCGGCUCACUGGCUCGUUACUGACGCUGAGGUGCGAAAGCGUGGGGAGCAAACAGGAUUAGAUACCCCAGUAGUCCCA